This 440-nucleotide ribosomal RNA is filed under the name Pectobacterium carotovorum. RNAcentral's name for it is "bacterial SSU rRNA". It matches the Rfam family "Bacterial small subunit ribosomal RNA", at positions 338 to 795 of the family's 1533-position model. RNAcentral also lists the same sequence under 1 other name. Lineage: Bacteria; Pseudomonadati; Pseudomonadota; Gammaproteobacteria; Enterobacterales; Pectobacteriaceae. The record is from RNAcentral.
CCUACGGGAGGCAGCAGUGGGGAAUAUUGGACAAUGGGCGAAAGCCUGAUCCAGCAAUGCCGCGUGAGUGAUGAAGGCCUUAGGGUUGUAAAGCUCUUUUACCAGGGAUGAUAAUGACAGUACCUGGAGAAUAAGCUCCGGCUAACUCCGUGCCAGCAGCCGCGGUAAUACGGAGGGAGCUAGCGUUGUUCGGAAAUACUGGGCGUAAAGCGCACGUAGGCGGCACAGCAAGUCAGGGGUGAAAUCCCGGGGCUCAACCCCGGAACUGCCCUUGAAACUGCUGAGCUAGAAUCCUGGAGAGGUGAGUGGAAUUCCGAGUGUAGAGGUGAAAUUCGUAGAUAUUCGGAAGAACACCAGUGGCGAAGGCGACUCACUGGACAGGUAUUGACGCUGAGGUGCGAAAGCGUGGGGAGCAAACAGGAUUAGAUACCCUUGUAGUC